UGCAAAUCCUGUAGGAUUUCAUGGACCAGAUGGAGCGAUGGUUAAAGGAUAUUAAUUGAGAAUAAUUGAGACAGGGAUCUCAAAAGCAAUUUUCUAUCGUCAGCAGGGUCAUCAGGGUCUGAAUACCAUUGACAUUUAACUGUGGAAGGAGAAAGGUUGAUUUAUGGU
Non-coding RNA from Chiloscyllium plagiosum (whitespotted bambooshark), 168 nucleotides. Lineage: Eukaryota; Metazoa; Chordata; Chondrichthyes; Orectolobiformes; Hemiscylliidae. The record is from RefSeq and is a predicted model, not a curated record.